This 161-nucleotide non-coding RNA is filed under the name Solanum lycopersicum (tomato). Its description in RNAcentral is "Eukaryotic small subunit ribosomal RNA". It matches the Rfam family "Eukaryotic small subunit ribosomal RNA", at positions 1667 to 1823 of the family's 1831-position model. Lineage: Eukaryota; Viridiplantae; Streptophyta; Magnoliopsida; Solanales; Solanaceae. The record is from Rfam by way of RNAcentral.
CACCGCCCGUCGCUCCUACCGAUUGAAUGAUUUAGUGAAAUGUUCGGAUCGCGGCUACAUGGGCGGUUCGCUGCCCGCAAAGUCGUGAGAAGUCCAUUGAACCUUAUCAUUUAGAGGAAGGAGAAGUCGUAACAAGGUUUCCAUAGGUUAACCUGCGAAAG